This 373-nucleotide non-coding RNA is filed under the name Brassica napus (rape). RNAcentral's name for it is "rRNA LSU_rRNA_eukarya". It matches the Rfam family "Eukaryotic large subunit ribosomal RNA", at positions 3007 to 3399 of the family's 3401-position model. Lineage: Eukaryota; Viridiplantae; Streptophyta; Magnoliopsida; Brassicales; Brassicaceae. The record is from Rfam by way of RNAcentral.
CGCGUCACAAUAGUAAUUCAACCUAGUACGAGAGGAACCGUUGAUUCACACAAUUGGUCAUCGCGCUUGGUUGAAAAGCCAGUGACACGAAGCUACCGUGCGCUGGAUUAUGACUGAAUGCCUCUAAGUCAGAAUCCGGGCUAGAAGCGAUGCAUGCGCCCGCUGCCCGAUUGCCAACCCUCACUAGGAGCUUUGGCUCCAAAAGGCACGUGUCGUUGGCUAAGUCCGUUCGGCGGAUCGCCUCACUAGUAUUACCACCGAGCGGCAGGAAGAAUCCUUUGCAGAAGACUUAAAUACGCGACGCGGUAUUGUAAGUCCAGAGUGGCCUUGCUGCCAUGAUCCACUGAGAUUCAGUCCUUUGUCACUAAGAUUC